RNAcentral lists this ribosomal RNA (465 nucleotides) under Vreelandella stevensii. RNAcentral describes it as "partial 16S ribosomal RNA". It matches the Rfam family "Bacterial small subunit ribosomal RNA", at positions 338 to 795 of the family's 1533-position model. The record is from RNAcentral. Lineage: Bacteria; Pseudomonadati; Pseudomonadota; Gammaproteobacteria; Oceanospirillales; Halomonadaceae.
CCUACGGGGUGCUGCAGUGGGGAAUAUUGGACAAUGGGCGAAAGCCUGAUCCAGCCAUGCCGCGUGUGUGAAGAAGGCCUUCGGGUUGUAAAGCACUUUCAGUGGGGAAGAAAGCCUUGGGGCUAAUACCCUCGAGGAAGGACAUCACCCACAGAAGAAGCACCGGCUAACUCCGUGCCAGCAGCCGCGGUAAUACGGAGGGUGCGAGCGUUAAUCGGAAUUACUGGGCGUAAAGCGCGCGUAGGCGGUCUGAUAAGCCGGUUGUGAAAGCCCCGGGCUCAACCUGGGAACGGCAUCCGGAACUGUCAGGCUAGAGUGCAGGAGAGGAAGGUAGAAUUCCCGGUGUAGCGGUGAAAUGCGUAGAGAUCGGGAGGAAUACCAGUGGUGAAGGCGGCCUUCUGGACUGACACUGACGCUGAGGUGCGAAAGCGUGGGUAGCAAACAGGAUUAGAUACCCCAGUAGUC